GACGAACGCUGGCGGCGUGCUUAACACAUGCAAGUCGAGCGGUAAGGCCCUUUCGGGGGUACACGAGCGGCGAACGGGUGAGUAACACGUGGGUGACCUGCCCUCAGCUCUGGGAUAAGCCUGGGAAACCGGGUCUAAUACUGGAUAUGACUCCAUGACGCAUGUUGUGGGGUGGAAAGCCUUGUGCGGCUGAGGAUGGGCCCGCGGCCUAUCAGCUUGUUGGUGGGGUGANGGCCUACCAAGGCGACGACGGGUAGCCGGCCUGAGAGGGCGACGGCCACACUGGGACUGAGACACGGCCCAGACUCCUACGGGAGGCAGCAGUGGGGAAUAUUGGGCAAUGGGCGCAAGCCUGACCCAGCGACG
This 366-nucleotide ribosomal RNA is filed under the name uncultured bacterium. Its description in RNAcentral is "bacterial SSU rRNA". It matches the Rfam family "Bacterial small subunit ribosomal RNA", at positions 28 to 396 of the family's 1533-position model. The record is from RNAcentral.